RNAcentral lists this ribosomal RNA (222 nucleotides) under Chloropicon mariensis. RNAcentral's name for it is "partial Bacterial large subunit ribosomal RNA". It matches the Rfam family "Bacterial large subunit ribosomal RNA", at positions 1643 to 1876 of the family's 2925-position model. The record is from RNAcentral. Lineage: Eukaryota; Viridiplantae; Chlorophyta; Chloropicophyceae; Chloropicales; Chloropicaceae.
CGUACCGCAAACCGACACAGGUAGAUGAGGAGAGAAUCCUAAGGCCGGCGGAAGAAUUGCAGUUAAGGAACUAGGCAAAUUGACCCCGUAAGUUAGCGAGAAGGGGUGCCUACGAGAGUAGGCCGCAGAGAAUAGGCCCAAGCAACUGUUUAGCAAAAACACAGGUCUCUGCUAAAGCGCAAGCUGAUGUAUAGGGGCUGACGCCUGCCCGGUGCUGGAAGG